Molecule: ribosomal RNA, 253 nt
Filed under: uncultured bacterium
Lineage: Bacteria
Description: partial 16S ribosomal RNA
Rfam family: Bacterial small subunit ribosomal RNA
Source: RNAcentral
UACGUAGGGGGCGAGCGUUAUCCGGAUUUACUGGGUGUAAAGAGCGCGUAGGCGGUUCCGUAAGUUGGUUGUGAAAGUUCGAGGCUCAACCUCGAAACUGCGUCCAAUACUGCGGGGCUGGAGUGCAAGAGAGGCAAGUGGAAUUUCAGGUGUAGUAGUGAAAUGCGUAGAUAUCUGAAGGAACACCAGUGGCGAAGGCGGCUUGCUAGCUUGUAACUGACGCUGAGGCGCGAAAGCUAGGGGAGCGAACGGG